RNAcentral lists this ribosomal RNA (492 nucleotides) under uncultured bacterium. Its description in RNAcentral is "partial 16S ribosomal RNA". It matches the Rfam family "Bacterial small subunit ribosomal RNA", at positions 29 to 507 of the family's 1533-position model. The record is from RNAcentral.
AGUGAACGCUGGCGGUAGGCCUAACACAUGCAAGUCGAACGGCAGCACAGUAAGAGCUUGCUCUUACGGGUGGCGAGUGGCGGACGGGUGAGGAAUACAUCGGAAUCUACUUUUUCGUGGGGGAUAACGUAGGGAAACUUACGCUAAUACCGCAUACGACCUACGGGUGAAAGCAGGGGAUCUUCGGACCUUGCGCGAUUGAAUGAGCCGAUGUCGGAUUAGCUAGUUGGCGGGGUAAAGGCCCACCAAGGCGACGACCCGUAGCUGGUCUGAGAGGAUGAUCAGCCACACUGGAACUGAGACACGGUCCAGACUCCUACGGGAGGCAGCAGUGGGGAAUAUUGGACAAUGGGCGCAAGCCUGCUCCCACCAUACCGCGUCGGUGAAGAAGGCCUUCGGGUUGUAACGCCCUUUUGUUGGGAAAGACAAGCAGCAGGUUAAUACCCCGCUGUUCUGACGGUACCCAAAGAAUAAGCCCCGGCUAACUUCGUG